RNAcentral lists this ribosomal RNA (393 nucleotides) under Metasarcidae sp. 10 MA-2018. RNAcentral describes it as "partial small subunit ribosomal RNA". The record is from RNAcentral. Lineage: Eukaryota; Metazoa; Arthropoda; Arachnida; Opiliones; Metasarcidae.
UAAAAACWAGGAUUAGAUACCCUAGUAUAGAGUAAGACUAAAGAUUAUUAUUUAAGAAAUUUAAAAGUUUUGGCAGUUAGUCAUUAAUUAAAGGGACUUGUUUAUCUAGACUUUACUCUUUAAAUUUUAUUAAUUUGUGUUCAUUUAUCUCCGUUCUUAAAUAAAAGUUGAGCAAAAUUAAUUUUUAUAUCUCAGGUCAAGAUGUGUCUUAAAUUUAGCAAUAUUAGUCACAUUUAUAUAAUAAUUAGAUAUUAUUUUUGAAAAAUUAAUGAAAUUGAAUUUAGUUGUAAUUGUGUUUAUAAAGAUUAUAUGAAUUUAUAUAACUUAUGUAUAUAUUGCCCGUCACUUCUUUUGAAAAAAAGAAUAAGUCGUAACAAAGUAAAAUUUAAGGGA